GAUUAGUUAACUGCGGCCUGAUGGCCUAGGGCUGGUUUCGAACUCCUGGCCUCAAGCGAUCCACCUGCCUUGGCCUCCCAAAGUAUUGGGAUUACAGACAUGAGCCACCACACCCGGCCACACAUGUUUUUAUAACCAUAUAAUUGGGAUGUGUGUGGUGAUUUACACCUGUAAUCCCAGCACUUUGGGAAGCCAAAGCAGGAGGAUCGCUUGAGCCUAGGAGUUCAAGGCUGCAGUGAAUUAUGAUUAUGUCACUGUGCUCCAGCCUAGGCAGCAGGGCAAGACCCUGUCUCUACAAAAAAUUGUUUAAAAAUUAGCUGGGUAUGGUAGUGCACGCCUGUAGUCCCAGCUACUGGGGAGGCUGAAGUGGGAGAAUUACUGGAGCCCAGGAGUUCAAGGCUGCAGUGAGCUGUCCUGUGCCACUUGUAUGGCAGCCUGGGCAACAAGGCAAGACCCUGUCUCCAAACAAACAAGCAUAUAAUUGGGCCAAGAAAAUGUUACAUUUCCCUGAAUAUUGUAAGGA
Molecule: long non-coding RNA, 523 nt
Filed under: Homo sapiens (human)
Lineage: Eukaryota; Metazoa; Chordata; Mammalia; Primates; Hominidae
Description: non-protein coding lnc-HEATR4-2:1
Source: RNAcentral